Molecule: long non-coding RNA, 401 nt
Organism: Stegodyphus dumicola
Lineage: Eukaryota; Metazoa; Arthropoda; Arachnida; Araneae; Eresidae
Source: RefSeq, a predicted model, not a curated record
UCUCAGUGUCAUUUAGAUACUAUGCAAAUGUCUAUAUAUUAAUUUGUGUUAAUUUUUAUUGCAGAAUGGAUCUUGUUGGUGAUAUUGAUUGGAUGAUUGAAUGCUUGAAUGGAAGUGAACCCUUUGGAGUUGCUGAUUCCGGAGUUCUGAAAUGCUACAGGGGCUAAAAACCUUUUUACAGUAACUUUUCAGAUAAAUAACUACAUAUUGCAGACUUAGUUUUUAAAAGAGUUAAGAAUUGUUUCACAGUUUUUGAUUUUAAAAUUUUAUUGAUUGAUAGCUCUGUCUGAUUUUAGAUUAAAUAUGUAACAGGCUGCAAAUUACUGAUUUCAUAUUUUGUAAUUAGUCUUUUUAAUGGACUUGAUGUAUUAAUUAUAUCAUAAAUAAUAUGAAUUGACCCA